RNAcentral lists this transfer RNA (77 nucleotides) under uncultured Cytophagales bacterium. Its description in RNAcentral is "tRNA-His-GTG". It matches the Rfam family "tRNA". Rfam says of the family: Transfer RNA (tRNA) molecules are approximately 80 nucleotides in length. Their secondary structure includes four short double-helical elements and three loops (D, anti-codon, and T loops). The record is from RNAcentral. Lineage: Bacteria; Pseudomonadati; Bacteroidota; Sphingobacteriia; Sphingobacteriales.
GUGCCGGUGGACCAACUGGUCAGGUCGCCUCUCUGUGAAAGAGGAAUGUACGGGUUCGAGUCCCGUCCGGCACCCCC